This 429-nucleotide ribosomal RNA is filed under the name uncultured Oscillospiraceae bacterium. RNAcentral's name for it is "bacterial SSU rRNA". It matches the Rfam family "Bacterial small subunit ribosomal RNA", at positions 355 to 794 of the family's 1533-position model. Lineage: Bacteria; Bacillati; Bacillota; Clostridia; Eubacteriales; Oscillospiraceae. The record is from RNAcentral.
GGGGGAAUAUUGGGGGCAAUGGGGGCGAAAGCCUGACCCAGCAACGCCGCGUGAAGGAAGAAGGUCUUCGGAUUGUAAACUUCUUUUAUGAGGGACGAAGGACGUGACGGUACCUCAUGAAUAAGCCACGGCUAACUACGUGCCAGCAGCCGCGGUAAUACGUAGGUGGCGAGCGUUAUCCGGAUUUACUGGGUGUAAAGGGUGAGUAGGCGGGAAGGCAAGUCAGAUGUGAAAUGCAAUGGCUCAACCAUUGAAUUGCAUUUGAAACUGUUUUUCUUGAGAGUCGGAGAGGUAAUCGGAAUUCCUAGUGUAGCGGUGAAAUGCGUAGAGAUUAGGAGGAACACCAGUGGCGAAGGCGGAUUACUGGACGACAACUGACGCUGAGACACGAAAGCGUGGGGAGCAAACAGGAUUAGAUACCCUGGUAGU